UACAGAGGGUGCAAGCGUUGUUCGGAAUUAUUGGGCGUAAAGGGCGCGUAGGCGGCCGCGUAUGUCCGGUGUGAAAUCCCACCUCUUAAAGGUGGAGUUGCAUCGGAAACUACGUGGCUGGAGUGUCGGAGAGGAUGGUGGAAUUCCUGGUGUAGAGGUGAAAUUCGUAGAUAUCAGGAGGAACACCGGUGGCGAAGGCGGCCAUCUGGACGACUACUGACGCUGAGGCGCGAAAGCGUGGGGAUCAAACAGG
Molecule: ribosomal RNA, 253 nt
Filed under: uncultured prokaryote
Description: partial 16S ribosomal RNA
Rfam family: Bacterial small subunit ribosomal RNA
Source: RNAcentral